RNAcentral lists this long non-coding RNA (1065 nucleotides) under Rhinolophus ferrumequinum (greater horseshoe bat). Its description in RNAcentral is "lncRNA (ENSRFEG00010021984.1)". Lineage: Eukaryota; Metazoa; Chordata; Mammalia; Chiroptera; Rhinolophidae. The record is from RNAcentral.
AUGGAGGGGCACAGCAACCACCACUCACUCGGACCUCUCAGGGGUCCCAGCUCCAAUUCACCUGUAAAUGGCGGCUCCCAGGGGGGAGCGCACCAGCUCGGGGCCCCAUCGCAGCUUCCCCAUCUCACUCUCACCGGGAGCCCUGGGCCAGCCCCACCCUCUGCCACAGUGCCAUCCCCAGGGUGGGCCCAGUGGUCACUGCGCCAGCUCUUUAUUGUUGGAGGACAUGCAUUUCCUCCCCACACUGGGGACACAGACACACGGGGACACAGGCAUGCAUUCACAGAACAGCUUCCCCACACAGCAGGUGUGAGGCGGGGAGCUCUGCCCCUCAGAUCACCACAUGGGGGGGGUGAGGACGGCGACCCCAAGAAAGCCCGGCCCACGACAGGGGUCCCCGCAGGCCAGUUCCGCGCUCCCCAUUCUGCGGGCCCCUGGCCCGGCCAAGGUGGGCCCCGGGAACGUCCCCUCGGGCCGGGCCCCACUGCUCACCGCGCCGUUCAGGUCCGGCUCCGCGCUCCCUGCCGGCUCCGCGCCCGCGCCCCGCGCCAGCCUCGCGCAAACUCUCCGGCGGCGACGCUGGGUGGCGGUGGCGGCCCCGGCGACGGAGGGGGCGGGGGCGGGAACGGCGCGGGGGCGGAGGGGGGGAGCCGCAGGCGAGGGUCCGCGCCCGCGUCCCAGUUCUUCCGACGCACCGCGGGGACAACGGCGACGCCCGCACUCCUCCCCGCGGGGCUCCACUCCAGAUCCCCAACCUCAGACCUCGCUGUGCAGACCCCCACCCCUCCGAUCCCGGCCGGCAGACGGCUGUCCCAGCCCGGCUGGAGCCGCGGGUGGACAGCGAGGGCGUGUGAGUCAGCGCCCCUCCUGUCGCCCUCCACGGCCCGGUGUUGCGUCGAUUUGCUCGAAGGGCCGGCCCGCCACUUACUCCCCACCCCGCUACGCGGUGACACGUCCUUCCAGAGCCGCAGAGCAGGCCGCACUGGGGUGGUGGGCAGAUCAGGUCUCAGGGCCCUGGUCGCCGCGAAGCCCCCUCCAGUGCCGCUCACCCAGCAAACCCAGUGA